Non-coding RNA from Lupinus angustifolius (narrow-leaved blue lupine), 106 nucleotides. NCBI's taxonomy places the organism in Eukaryota, Viridiplantae, Streptophyta, Magnoliopsida, Fabales, Fabaceae. The record is from Rfam.
AGGUGCGAUCAUACCAGCACUAAUGCACCGGAUCCCAUCAGAACUCCGCAGUUAAGCGUGCUUGGGCGAGAGUAGUACUAGGAUGGGUGACCUCGUGUUGCACCUC